RNAcentral lists this long non-coding RNA (535 nucleotides) under Musa acuminata (dwarf banana). RNAcentral describes it as "long non-coding RNA (MACU_LNC009134)". The record is from RNAcentral. Lineage: Eukaryota; Viridiplantae; Streptophyta; Magnoliopsida; Zingiberales; Musaceae.
CCGGUUUCCUAUAUUAAGAAGAAAUAGAAUUAUCCGGCAAGGCCUAAAACAAAACACCUGAGAGGAGAAGCUUAGAUAAGGAUCAAAAGCAAGGGAACCCUCAACUCAAGAUCAGUUAAGUCAGCGGGAAGUCCUGUGCCCCAUGAAUUACCUGCCAUCAAGAUUUGGGUGUCGCAUUCUUUCGAAUCUUUCUCUUUUUUUCAUUAGAUUGGGGCGGAAGAGAUCAAACCCGCUUUCAAUUGCAUUAUUUUAGGCUUUUAUAGUAGUUUCAUCCCGAGUAACGUCUAGGUGCCUUAAAACACUAAAAAUAAGGGUUUCUGCUACUUCCAAUUGACUAGCUGCCCUGGUAGAGCGGAGCCUUUACUAUAAGCUUGUAGAUGCAAAGGGAUAUGAAGCCUAAUCUCAUCUCUUUAAGAAUUUCUAUGGCCAGCCCACUAGAUCCAUUCCGGUAGAGUUGAAAACAUUCCUUCCCAUCUAAGACCAAUUUCCGGUAUCAACUGAUUCUUUAUGAUUUGGAUUCAACUUCAACUCUCAA